AAGCCAAAUGAUGUAUUCGGAUUUAAAAUCUCACGACGGUCGUCUGAGCACGAUUUGAUGCAGUAAUAAUCCAAUUUCUCUGAUGGUU
Molecule: small nucleolar RNA, 88 nt
Filed under: Olea europaea subsp. europaea
Lineage: Eukaryota; Viridiplantae; Streptophyta; Magnoliopsida; Lamiales; Oleaceae
Description: Small nucleolar RNA Z161/Z228
Rfam family: Small nucleolar RNA Z161/Z228
About the family: Z161 and Z228 are members of the C/D class of snoRNA which contain the C (UGAUGA) and D (CUGA) box motifs. Most of the members of the box C/D family function in directing site-specific 2'-O-methylation of substrate RNAs.
Source: Rfam by way of RNAcentral